CCUACGGGAGGCAGCAGUGGGGGAUAUUGCACAAUGGGGGGAACCCUGAUGCAGCGACGUCGCGUGGGUGAAGAAGCGCCUCGGCGCGUAAAGCCCUGUCAGCAGGGAAGAAAAUGACGGUACCUGAAGAAGAAGCCCCGGCUAACUACGUGCCAGCAGCCGCGGUACUACGUAGGGAGCAAGCGUUAUCCGGAUUUACUGGGUGUAAAGGGGGCGCAGACGGCGGUGCAAGCCAGGAGUGAAAGCCCGGGGCCCAACCCCGGGACUGCGCUUGAAACUGCGUGGCUGGAGUGAAGGAGGGGCAGGCGGAAUGCCUGGUGUAGCGGUGAAAUGCGUAGAUAUCAGGAAGAACACCGGUGGCGAAGGCGGCCUGCUGGACUGCAACUGACGUUGAGGCCCGAAAGCGUGGGGAGCGAACAGGAUUAGAUACCCGUGUAGUC
This 440-nucleotide ribosomal RNA is filed under the name uncultured bacterium. Its description in RNAcentral is "partial 16S ribosomal RNA". It matches the Rfam family "Bacterial small subunit ribosomal RNA", at positions 338 to 795 of the family's 1533-position model. The record is from RNAcentral.